GUCCAAACAAUGGGUAGCGGCUGCAGGUAAUUAGAUGGAACCAAACCUCGUCGUCCGUGCAGAUCCCCCUAAAAUAGAGGGAGGAAUCCCUGCUGCAUGAGGCGUUGCUUCAGGUACUCAUCCUCCACUGGGACUUCAGCCACCAUGUUACUUGGCACAUAACCAGAGAGACCACCGGACUCACCAUAAUAGAAGCCAUCAUAGUCUUUGUCUCCAAACACCUAAUAAAUGCAGAGGUUUAUCUCUUUAUUAUGGGAGGUUUAGAAUAAAUAAAUGUAUAUUUGCAUGGUGCAGCAGUGAAUUCAGUAAAAUUGACAUCAAUCGGUUGGAAACGGUGACAGGAAAUAAAGAAAAAAGCUGAUAUCUUUGUACACAAUCAGCUGGCUUGAAUGUAGCACAAACAGGAAACACCAUCAUGUUUCAACCAUCAUUUCAAAGAAGCUUUUCAACUGAUGAAGUGAGGAAAUACAACUCUAAUAUAUGAGAUACACAUGCCAGCACACUUAAAGAGCACCAUGAAAGAAGUAUAGACCAUUUUACCUGCUUUACUUUGUAUAUUAAAGUGACUAUAUGUAACGUU
Perca flavescens (yellow perch) is the source of this 580-nucleotide long non-coding RNA. RefSeq lists it as uncharacterized. The transcript has 3 exons. NCBI's taxonomy places the organism in Eukaryota, Metazoa, Chordata, Actinopteri, Perciformes, Percidae. The record is from RefSeq and is a predicted model, not a curated record.